Molecule: ribosomal RNA, 253 nt
Filed under: uncultured bacterium
Lineage: Bacteria
Description: partial 16S ribosomal RNA
Rfam family: Bacterial small subunit ribosomal RNA
Source: RNAcentral
UACGUAGGGCGCAAGCGUUGUCCGGAAUUAUUGGGCGUAAAGAGCUCGUAGGCGGCUUGUCACGUCGAUUGUGAAAGCCCGAGGCUUAACCUCGGGUCUGCAGUCGAUACGGGCUAGCUAGAGUGUGGUAGGGGAGAUCGGAAUUCCUGGUGUAGCGGUGAAAUGCGCAGAUAUCAGGAGGAACACCGGUGGCGAAGGCGGGUCUCUGGGCCGAAACUGACGCUGAGGAGCGAAAGCGUGGGGAGCAAACAGG